RNAcentral lists this ribosomal RNA (215 nucleotides) under uncultured bacterium. Its description in RNAcentral is "partial 16S ribosomal RNA". It matches the Rfam family "Bacterial small subunit ribosomal RNA", at positions 309 to 526 of the family's 1533-position model. The record is from RNAcentral.
GGCACCAUGAAUUACGGGGGGACUCCUACGGGAGGCAGCAGCAAGGAAUAUUGGUCAAUGGGCGGAAGCCUGAACCAGCCAUGCCGCGUGCAGGAUGACUGCCCUAUGGGUUGUAAACUGCUUUUGUCCAGGAAUAAACCUUUCUACGGGUAGAGAGCUGAAUGUACUGGAAGAAUAAGGAUCGGCUAACUCCGUGCCAGCAGCCGCGGUAAAAU